GAUUGCUUGAAUUUCAUGAGACUUUGACCUUUGAAACAAGUUUUAGACUAUUAUAGACUUAUGGAAAUUUUAAAAUUCGACUGAAUGUAUAUAUGAUGUGGGUUCCAGUGGAUUCAGUGCUUUGAAUAAAAAUGGCCCUCAUAGUAUCAUAUAGAAUGAUACUAUCUGGUUUUGUGACUUCGUUGGAAUAAUGCAGUCUUCUUGGAAGUAGUCAGUCUCUGACGAAUGCCUGAAUAUCCAGAUGUAGAACUCUCAGCAACCUCUCCAGCAGCAAGUUUGCCUGCAUGCUACUAUGCUAUUGGACCAUGAAGAAAGGGGACUAAACUUCUAAACUAGCCGAAUAGUACUACUUUCCCAGCAGUGGCAAUACCCAGAGUGAGCUGAGACUUCUCACAUCAAACAUCAAACAAGAAAAUGUAUCACAGCAUUGCGACAUUGGUAAACAUGACAAAUAAAACAGACUAUGGCCUACUGAACAUUGAAAAAGUAGAAGCAGAAUCCUACAAUAUUUCAGAAGAACUUUAUAUAAGCAUAAACCCAAUAUGGUCUGAUGUCCACCACUCUUACCUUUUCACCACAAAGAAGCAUGAGACCCCACAGGGCUAGUGAUACACCAAGAACAGAGUCCUCUAUGUGUUGACCCAGGAAAAUCCAAGCAGAUAUGACUGAAAUGUCCAUUAAAAACACUGUCACUAAGUUCACUUAGAAGUGUUCUAAAUCAACCAGCAGAUAUUACCUUACUUAGGUUUUAUUCUUGUCAUUUGUUACACCGAACAAUUUGUUUAGGACAUGCAGCAAUUAGAAGUCAGUCAAAAACCACAUUCACUGCCAGAAUAAAAGCCUAACAAUAGUUAUUUUGGGCAAUCCUUAAUAUUA
Grammomys surdaster is the source of this 876-nucleotide long non-coding RNA. RefSeq lists it as uncharacterized. NCBI's taxonomy places the organism in Eukaryota, Metazoa, Chordata, Mammalia, Rodentia, Muridae. The transcript is spliced from 4 exons. The record is from RefSeq and is a predicted model, not a curated record.